Molecule: ribosomal RNA, 253 nt
Filed under: uncultured bacterium
Lineage: Bacteria
Description: partial 16S ribosomal RNA
Rfam family: Bacterial small subunit ribosomal RNA
Source: RNAcentral
UACGUAGGUGGCAAGCGUUGUCCGGAUUUACUGGGUGUAAAGGGCGCGUAGGCGGGCUUGCAAGUCAGUCGUGAAAUACCGGGGCUUAACUCCGGGGCUGCGAUUGAAACUGCAAGUCUUGAGUAUCGGAGAGGAAAGCGGAAUUCCUAGUGUAGCGGUGAAAUGCGUAGAUAUUAGGAGGAACACCAGUGGCGAAGGCGGCUUUCUGGACGACAACUGACGCUGAGGCGCGAAAGUGUGGGGAGCAAACAGG